This 84-nucleotide microRNA precursor is filed under the name Colobus angolensis palliatus. RNAcentral's name for it is "miRNA (ENSCANG00000012029.1)". Lineage: Eukaryota; Metazoa; Chordata; Mammalia; Primates; Cercopithecidae. The record is from RNAcentral.
CCCUUACCUGGAUCGGCGGUUAGUAUUUAACUCAUAGAUUGUAUUUAGUUAGUUUUUAAUACUAACUGCGGAUUCAAGUGAGGG